UCCUAAUUAUAUUCUAAUUUACAGUUAAUUUACACUAAUUAAAGGAUUUACAAUAAUUAAGGGAUUCUAACAUGAAGUUAGUUGGGAAAAGAAGGCAUAUUUGUGGCAAUUUGCGGAAACAAUCAAGGGUUUUGGUGGGGGAGAUUGUCAAUCCCCAAGAGUUGGGCAUGCAAGGAAGGCCAAGGCAAGAGGAACACUUCAGUAGUGCCUUGCUAGAAUUUUCUAGAACGUUGGAGAAGUGCCCAGUAAGUGCUAGAUCGUGCCGGAAGUGUGGGGAGAAUUAUGGGGCGUGCUGGUGAGUGCUGGAGCAUUCAGCAUGCUAGGAUUGGCUAGAAGGUGCUAGGAAGCCUUCCUUGGGCUGGCAAGUUUCUGGAGAAUUCUAGAAUUGUCUACAAGGUGUUGGUUGCCUAUACCAAGUAUUGGAUGACUGUAGACUCUUUCUUAGUGCACUGUAUGUCUAAGUAAUUGCUAGAAAUAUAUAGAAAAUUCUAAAGACUUGCUGCACACCACAUGUUUGAGGCAAAUUCUCCAUCACACAUUUGAGGAAGUGGAUUGCCUAUAAUAAGGAUGGCUAGAAUUUAGAAUGUGCAAUGUGAGAGUGAGUCCCUAAGAGCUCUAUGUAUAGCAUUCUAAUUGUAAAACUAUUCUUUGUAAAUAAUAUUCUUUCUUUUUGUGCAAUUCUCUACUCUUACGUAUUGUGUGUGAGUGAGGGUUUGCCUAAGGUUUUAGUUGGUUGGGAAGUCUGACUUAGUUUAGUUUAAGAGUGGGAACCGAGCAGGUGCUGACAAGCAAGAAAGUCUUGUGUCGUGACAGGCCGCAGCUAAUAUGUCUAUACUGGUGGUUUGUGUUGUUUGGAAAUUUGCAUCAAUUCAUUGUUCCAUUUUUGUGUCUUCUAUUGUUGAGUGUUCAUGUGCAUACUAUGUAGGUGUUAUUCAGUUGUUUGCACUCAUUUUCAAUUGGAGAAUAGAAAGCACCAUUAUGCAUGGGAAGUCAACUUUCUAGGCCUGAAUGGCAACUAUUUCUGUUAUUUCUUCUCAUUUGGACGAUGUUUGCAGCAUAUCUGUAACAUUUGUGGAUAAGGAUGGAGAGGAAAAGAACCUCAAUGUGCCAAUUGGAAUGUCUAUGUUAGAAGCUGCUCAUGAAAAUGACAUAGAACUUGAAGGAGCAUGUGAAGCCUCACUUGCCUGUUCAACAUGUCAUGUGAUUGUCAUGGAUGUGGAAUACUACAACAAAUUAGAAGACCCUACUGACGAGGAGAAUGACAUGUUGGAUUUGGCCUUUGGGCUCACACAAACUUCUCGAUUGGGUUGUCAGGUGAUUGCAAAGCCUGAACUUGAUGGAAUUCGCUUAGCUAUUCCAGCUGCCACAAGAAAUUUUGCCGUUGAUGGGUAUGUUCCAAAACCUCACUAGACAUGGAGCAACACUGGAAAGUGUAUGCUGAGCGUAAAGGACGCAUUCAUCCCAGUUUUGUAGCCUACAAUAUUGUAUUCAACCAAUGAUCAUCUCCAGUCCUAGUCAUUUUUCCGUGCCAUUGUUUAUUACAUAUUUGUUUCACCUAAUAAUUUUUGAGUGGAACUAACUUGCAUCAUGACAAAGGGAAGAUGGGAUUGAGACCAUCGAAUCCCAACAAAUAAUGACAAAAGGGAAUGACUUAUGCAUUACAAUACUAAUGUUCUUAUAAUUCCACCUUUCUAUCGUAGAGCUUUUUACCUUGAGC
Molecule: unclassified non-coding RNA, 1717 nt
Filed under: Hevea brasiliensis (rubber tree)
Lineage: Eukaryota; Viridiplantae; Streptophyta; Magnoliopsida; Malpighiales; Euphorbiaceae
Source: RNAcentral